GGAGAGUAGCCCAGUGGGAGAGUGUUUGCCUAGCAUGCACAAGACCCUGGGUUCAAUGCCCACCACCA
This 68-nucleotide transfer RNA is filed under the name Marmota monax (woodchuck). RNAcentral describes it as "tRNA.Ala". The record is from RNAcentral. Lineage: Eukaryota; Metazoa; Chordata; Mammalia; Rodentia; Sciuridae.